AUUGAACGCUGGCGGCAUGCCUUACACAUGCAAGUCGAACGGUAACAGGUUAAGCUGACGAGUGGCGAACGGGUGAGUAAUACAUCGGAACGUGCCCAGUAGUGGGGGAUAGCUCGGCGAAAGCCGGAUUAAUACCGCAUACGACCUAAGGGUGAAAGGGGGGGAUCGCAAGACCUCUCGCUAUUGGAGCUGCCGAUGUCGGAUUAGCUAGUUGGUGGGGUAAAAGCUCACCAAGGCGACGAUCUGUAGCUGGUCUGAGAGUACGACCAGCCACACUGGGACUGAGACACGGCCCAGACUCCUACGGGAGGCAGCAGUGGGGAAUUUUGGACAAUGGGCGCAAGCCUGAUCCAGCCAUGCCGCGUGCGGGAAGAAGGCCUUCGAGUUGUAAAGCGCUUUUGUCAGGGAAGAAAUCCUUUGGGUUAAUACCUCGGGGGGAUGACGGUACCUGAAGAAUAAGCACCGGCUAACUACGUG
This 477-nucleotide ribosomal RNA is filed under the name uncultured bacterium. RNAcentral describes it as "partial 16S ribosomal RNA". It matches the Rfam family "Bacterial small subunit ribosomal RNA", at positions 30 to 507 of the family's 1533-position model. The record is from RNAcentral.